AUUGAACGCUGGCGGCAGGCCUAACACAUGCAAGUCGAACGGUAGCACAGAGAGCUUGCUCUCGGGUGACGAGUGGCGGACGGGUGAGUAACGUCUGGGAAACUGCCCGAUGGAGGGGGAUAACUACUGGAAACGGUAGCUAAUACCGCAUAACGUCGCAAGACCAAAGUGGGGGACCUUCGGGCCUCACACCAUCGGAUGUGCCCAGAUGGGAUUGGCUAGUAGGUGGGGUAAUGGCUCACCUAGGCGACGAUCCCUAGCUGGUCUGAGAGGAUGACCAGCCACACUGGAACUGAGACACGGUCCAGACUCCUACGGGAGGCAGCAGUGGGGAAUAUUGCACAAUGGGCGCAAGCCUGAUGCAGCCAUGCCGCGUGUAUGAAGAAGGCCUUCGGGUUGUAAAGUACUUUCAGCGGGGAGGAAGGCGGUGAAGUUAAUAGCUUAACCGAUUGACGUUACCCGCAGAAGAAGCACCGGCUAACUCCGUGCCAGCAGCCGCAGUAA
Molecule: ribosomal RNA, 504 nt
Filed under: uncultured bacterium
Lineage: Bacteria
Description: partial 16S ribosomal RNA
Rfam family: Bacterial small subunit ribosomal RNA
Source: RNAcentral